RNAcentral lists this ribosomal RNA (275 nucleotides) under uncultured bacterium. RNAcentral describes it as "partial 16S ribosomal RNA". It matches the Rfam family "Bacterial small subunit ribosomal RNA", at positions 399 to 691 of the family's 1533-position model. The record is from RNAcentral.
GCGUGAGUGAUGAAGGCCCUAGGGUUGUAAAGCUCUUUUACCAGGGAUGAUAAUGACAGUACCUGGAGAAUAAGCUCCGGCUAACUCCGUGCCAGCAGCCGCGGUAAUACGGAGGGAGCUAGCGUUGUUCGGAAAUACUGGGCGUAAAGCGAACGUAGGCGGCUACGUAAGUCAGGGGUGAAAUCCCGGGGCUCAACCCCGGAACUGCCUUUGAAACUGCAUAGCUAGAAUCCUGGAGAGGCGAGUGGAAUUCCGAGUGUAGAGGUGAAAUUCGU